AUUUGCCUACGGGGCGCAGCAGUGGGGAAUAUUGCACAAUGGGGGAAACCCUGAUGCAGCGACGCCGCGUGAGUGAAGAAGUAUUUCGGUAUGUAAAGCUCUAUCAGCAGGGAAGAAGCAAGACGGUACCUGACUAAGAAGCCCCGGCUAACUACGUGCCAGCAGCCGCGGUAAUACGUAGGGGGCAAGCGUUAUCCGGAUUUACUGGGUGUAAAGGGAGCGUAGACGGUAUGGCAAGUCUGAAGUGAAAGCCCAGGGCUUAACCCUGGGACUGCUUUGGAAACUGUUAGACU
Molecule: ribosomal RNA, 293 nt
Filed under: uncultured bacterium
Lineage: Bacteria
Description: partial 16S ribosomal RNA
Rfam family: Bacterial small subunit ribosomal RNA
Source: RNAcentral